RNAcentral lists this small RNA (117 nucleotides) under Marmota monax (woodchuck). Lineage: Eukaryota; Metazoa; Chordata; Mammalia; Rodentia; Sciuridae. The record is from RNAcentral.
GCUGAGCAUUGUGGGGCAUGCUUGUAGUCCUAGCCACUUGGGAGGCUGAGGCAUGAGGAUCCCUUGAGCCCAGGAAUUUGAGACUAGCCUGGGCAACAUAGUGAAACUCUGUCUCAA